RNAcentral lists this transfer RNA (69 nucleotides) under Diptera sp. 77 LC-2017. RNAcentral describes it as "tRNA-Gly". The record is from RNAcentral. Lineage: Eukaryota; Metazoa; Arthropoda; Insecta; Diptera.
AUUUAUAUAGUAUAAAAAAAUUAUUAUUGACUUCCAAUCAAAAGAUUUAAAAUCAUUUUAAUAUAAAUA